UUUUCUGGGCGAGGCGUACCAAAAAACGCAUUGAGGCGUACUGGCGGGGGCGUAAGUACCAUGAGGCGUGAGCCCCAACAUUCCGAGCGUUCGCCUAGGCGUAAGUCCCAAUGUUCUGAGCGUUCAUUUGGGGCGUAAUAGAUCUUUUUUUCUUAACUUAAAUAUCCAAAAGUUAACUCUAGUAAAUUUUCAAACUAAAAAUGUCAAAAAAGUUUUUUCUAAUUGUUUAUCCUAAUUUCAUAAUUUACUAGUACUAAGUAACAAAUACACUUAGGACAUUUUUUUGGCAAAAGUGCAAACUACAAAGAAAAGAGUUUUGUCCUCCAAUUCUUACUCUGCUUUUGCACUUGCAUUUUCCUUCUUUAUGCUUCAUUUUCUUCAAGUUUUUUUAUUCUUUUUUUAUUCUUUUCAAGUUAGUUUUUGAUUUCAAAAUUUCUUUUGGUAUCGCUCUACGUUAGAUAUUAUUUUGAUGAUUCUAUUUUGGCUAUUUGUAUUAUACAAUGAGUAUUUGUGAUUUAUUAUCUAGUUUUAGGUUUUUAAAUAAUAAAGGGCAGCCCAGUGCUUUAAGUUCCCGCUAUGCGCGGGGUCCGGAGAAGGGCCGAACCACAAGGGUCUAUUGUACACAACCUUACCCCGCAUUUUUGCAAGAGGCUGUUUCCACGGUUUGAACCCGUGACCUCCAGGUCACAUGGCAUCAACUUUACCAGUUACGACAAGGCUCCCCAAUAAUAGUAACUUUAUAUCAUUAUUAUUUUUAUUAUUUGAAAAAUUAGGAACUAGAAUAUCAUUUUACAACUCUAAGUAUAUUCUAUCAUGGUCAUUUUAUAGGUAUGAUGCAUCAUUACGUCUUUCACUUUUUUCUGAUUUUUUUUUUGGUAUGUUUCAUGCACAUGUUAGCAUGUUUAGAGAUAUAUCCUUUUUUCUAUUAAUUUUAUAAUCUUAUUGAUAUUUUUACAAUUUAAUAUAUUUUUUAUUUGUAUAAUUAUUUUAUUAAUUUAUAAAUAUUAAAAAUUAAAUACUCAUGGGGCUUACAUCCCGUGCCUCAGGGCUUUCGCCUCGCCCCGUGAUAGAUAAAACACCUCGCCUCUUGUCCACGCCUUUUAAAACACUGGACUCACAACAUGGUCACUACUAGUUUACGAUGCUUGUAUGUGCUACGGAAAAACUGUAAUUACAAUUUGCUAAAUUGAAGAUGACAUUUUGCUUUAGGGAUGUUGUUUAUGAUGGAAAUGCUACAUUGCCCAUUUUGGUCGUUUAAGCUUCUGAACUUUUACAGUUUAAGCAAGAGACUUUAUAACUUUAGGAAGGUAGAUAAAUUUUGAAACAGCUACAAGUAAGAUUUUGGUGAAAGUUAGUGAAAUUACUCUUUUUCUUAUUAAAAUUUAGAGAAAGUUAGUUUAUACAAAUUCUUCAAGGAUUUGUGAGAUGGCCAAUCUUUUUGCUAUUUCUAUUUUCUUGUCUUAGGUUUAUUAGCUCUAUUUAUGAGCAGGUCUAUGACAUAGGUCAUGGUUUUACUUCCACAAAAGUUUACUUAACAGGUAUUAUUUUCAUUUUUAGCAUGGGAUAGCUAAGACAUUCAUUUAAGAAAAAUGAAAGAUAUUGAUUGUGAUAUCUUUGGAUUCUGAAGUGAAAAAAUUCCUUGUUAGUUAUCAGUUAUCACCCGGACAAGUUAGAAAAAGUAUUGUUUUCUAGAAAUUUUGGUGGAAGUGGCUGAGGAAACGCUAAAAUAGAGCUGGAAAGUUAGUUCUGUAUAUUCACAUUAGGUAAAUUAGCAAAUUUUAGGUCUCACAGCAAGGCUUUCUUGCCUGAAGCUGUUGUCAUUGACCUUCAUGUAAUACUUAUUCAACUAGGCUUAAAGUUUAGUUCCGUUUAGAUCACGUUGCUUAAUACCACCUGUAGACAUGAAAAAUUUUAAUAGGAAAAAUGAUAUGCAGGUUGUCUAUUGCCACACAUUUUGUGAAGGGUUCAACUGAUUAAAAAAAUUCACAUUUCAUCACCGGAACUAAUCUUGCUAUCUUCAUAAAAGCAAUCCCUUUCUAAUCUUAGUCUUCAAUUUGCAGGUGCUAAAGAAAGGUAAGAUAACACAAGUUUGGAUGAUGGAAGAAAAUGAGUGCCUCAUCUCUUCUUGAAGCUGAGACAAGUGAAGGUACCUGGACCUUGGUAGAAAGCUCUUUGAGAUCGUGACAACAACUUAGAUUUAAAUGUUUUUCUCGUUCUUCUGCUGGAAAAUUUACUUCCUUGUUCAUGAUAACUAAAUUGCCUGUACUAUCGAGAUAGAAGUCUGUAUAAUGAUGUUCUUCAUUGAGAAGGAAGUAGUGAAAUUGUGCUGGAUAUCAGAUAUCAAUUGUUGACUACUGGUUUAUUUUUCCCACUCCAUGCAACUAUGGAAAAUUCUGCAUUAGCAGCUCUUUAUCUGGAAAGUUCCAU
This 2427-nucleotide long non-coding RNA is filed under the name Nicotiana tabacum (common tobacco). RNAcentral's name for it is "long non-coding RNA (NTAB_LNC014950)". Lineage: Eukaryota; Viridiplantae; Streptophyta; Magnoliopsida; Solanales; Solanaceae. The record is from RNAcentral.